Molecule: ribosomal RNA, 777 nt
Filed under: uncultured Neocallimastigales
Lineage: Eukaryota; Fungi; Neocallimastigomycota; Neocallimastigomycetes; Neocallimastigales
Description: partial large subunit ribosomal RNA
Rfam family: Eukaryotic large subunit ribosomal RNA
Source: RNAcentral
UAUCUCUGUAGAGUCUGCAUAUCAAUAAGCGGAGGAAAAGAAACUAACUAGGAUUCCCUCAGUAACGGCGAGUGAAGCGGGAAGAGCUCAAAUUUGAAAUCUUCAAGGUUUUACCUUGACGAAUUGUAGUUUAAAGAAGUGUUUUCUGUUGGAAUUUUGGUAAAAGUUCUUUGGAAAUAGGACAUCAUAAGAGGGUGAGAAUCCCGUAUUUGACCAUUACUUCCAGCUUUGUGAUACACUUUCAAAGAGUCGGAUUGUUUGGGAAUGCAGUCCAAAAUGGGUGGUAAAUUUCAUCUAAAGCUAAAUAUUGGCGAGAGACCUGAUAGCGAACAAGUACCGUGAGGGAAAGAUGAAAAGAACUUUGAAAAGAGAGUUAAACAGUACGUGAAAUUGUCAAAAGGGAAGCGUUUGACACCAGUGUUGUUUUCUCGAAAAUCAAUUAAAAAUGCUGGAUUUUGUGUUGUAUUGACUUUAUCAGCUUUCCUGCACUCUUUUCCUGUCUUUUUUAAUGCACUUUUCGUUUAACAAGUCAACAUCAAUUUCUUUUGUUGUAAAAGGGUCAUUGGAAGGUGGCUUUCUUUUCGGAGAAAGUGUUUAUAGCCUUUGACUUCUGCAAUCGGAGAGAUUGAGGUCUGCAGCGUAGAUCCUUCGGGGUUAGAUGCAUUUGUGCUAAGUUAUAGCCUUUUAUAGACAACUUGUUGACUAUGAUCAGUCAUGUAGCUUACUCGCUUAUGUCAUUUUACCUACGCUUAGGAUGUUGAUCUCUCACAGUCGAGC